Non-coding RNA from Podarcis lilfordi (Lilford's wall lizard), 72 nucleotides. Lineage: Eukaryota; Metazoa; Chordata; Lepidosauria; Squamata; Lacertidae. The record is from the annotation of a GenBank genome assembly.
UGAUAGCUCAGUUGGAAGAGCAUGAGACUUUUAAUCUCAGGGUCAUGGGUUUGAGUCCCAUAUUGGGCAAAA